RNAcentral lists this long non-coding RNA (4938 nucleotides) under Sus scrofa (pig). Its description in RNAcentral is "lncRNA (ENSSSCG00000060221.1)". The record is from RNAcentral. Lineage: Eukaryota; Metazoa; Chordata; Mammalia; Artiodactyla; Suidae.
GAAUUUUCUUCCUUUCCUAUAUUUUGCUAAUAGGUCCCUAAUCACUUGCUAUCUAUAACUAAAGAACUUGAACAUUUAUUAACUAUGAAUCAAUCCAUUUGUAAACCAUAAUUGUCAUAAAACAACUACAAAUUUUUCAAUGCCUAUUAUAAUUUUGGUUUUAACACCUAGGGUUAAGAUGUCAGUGUUUUUGAGCCACUAAGGGCCUAUCAUCUGUACAAUUAUUUUCUAUUUAUAUUCAACCUAGUUCCAAAAAUGUUGGUUUGAGUCCAUCUGCCUAAUCCCUGACUACUUGAAAGGGCAUUCCCUUGUUUCUUCACAAAUUCUUCUGAAAUAAUCUGACAGAUUCUAGAAUGUUCUUAGUGCUCUAAUUUUUUUUUACCCUGGAUAGGUUACAGUGAAAACUUUCUAGGUUAGAGUGUUUUUUUUUUUUUUUUUUUUUUUUUCUAAAAUUACCCUUCAAGCUUUAAGGCAGAACUGUUCUCUAUUUUAAACAGUACUUUUCCUCUCAAGCCCAGUUCGAACAAUACUUGACUAAUUAUUCUCUCUUUCUCUUUCUAUCCUCUCUUUCCACCUCCUGCCCUCACCCUCCACUCCAUAUAUACGGAUAACACAUUUUUGAUGUUAACAGUUCACUUUUACACUAAAAUGCUUCCCUCAUUUAAUAAUAUUGACAGAAUUUCUUUUGAGAUAUAUGCUCCAUAAAUGAAAAGUGACAUAUUUGGGUCAAAAUUAUCCUCAUUCAGCAUUCAAGGACACACAGGUCUUUUAGUACUACAGUGUUACUCAGCAUCAUCCAUUCUCUUCACUUACAUUUUAGAGUUGCAUUUGCAAGUGGCCAUCACAGGAAGGGCCACAUUUGACACUGUGUAUUAAAUAAUGCAUAUAAUACUAUACAUACCAUGAUAUCUGCAAAGCCUGGUUUCUUUAUUUUAACUCUCUUUAGCAUUCCUUAGAUCACUGGGUUUAUAACUCUGCUUAGCAACUGUGCUUUUUAAAGCACACUUAACUAGUGAUUUUAAAAGUGUCAUUCUUCUGUGUGUUUGUACAUGCAUGUGUGAGAAAGUGUUGUUCUCAUAUGGCCAAGGAAGAAGUACUGGGUUAAAAUUCUGUUAUAUUUAUAUUGUUCUACUAAAUAUACCUUUAGUAACAUAUUAAAAGUUGUAGAACAAUCACCUUCACCAAAAAUAAAUUUGGAGAAAACCAAGCAUUUUAUUUUGUAUUUGCUUAUGAAAACUGGUGUUUUGGGGUAGAUUUAAUUUGGGAUAAUGAAAUGAUGAUUUUACUUGUAAUCCAAAUUCCAAUUACAAAAUUGAUUUUCUCAAUAUUAAUGACCUCAUCUUGAUCAAGGUUAGCUUUUGCUAUAUAACAAAAAAAUAUCAGAAUGUAUUGGCUUAAAACAAGAGUCAGCUAUUGCCUAAAGGUCAAAUCCAAGUCCUUUUUUGUUUGUUUUUUGGCUGCCUAUUUUUAAAUAAAGUUUUAUUGGAACACAACCAUGCCCAUUUAUUUGCUUAGUGUCUAUGUCUGUUUUUGUGCUACAACAGAGAUAAGUGGCUGCAAUAGAGAUACUGUGGUACACAUAGCCUAAAGUAUGUACAGUGAAAAUUUUCUGAUUCCUAGCUGAAAGCAGCAAUCAUUUAUUAGUUUAUGGUUUUAUCAUUCAGAAAUUUGGGCUGAGUUCAGCUGAGCAGUUCUUCUGAUGGCCUUUUCUGGACUCACUCACUAGCCACCAGCCACUCACUACUAGCCACCUUUGCAUGUCUAUUGGUUGGUGCUGUCAGCUGAGGUGGCAGUUGGUCACAUUUUCCAAUAGUCUAGCCUGGGCUUAUUCAUAUAGUUGCUGUUCCAGGACUCCCAGAAGCAGCAAAGGAGAACAAACUUCAGUGAGCAAGGAGUUUUCAAUCCUCUAUUGGUAUCACAUUUGCCAUUCAUUUUCCCUUCUGCCAAAGCAAGUUACAGUGGCAGGCCAAGCAACAGUGCACAGACAAUCUACACAAAGAUGGAUCCAGGAAGGUGUGAACAAACUGAGAGCUUUCACUGCCAGAACCUAUGACAGCCAAUUUCCUAAUUUUACAGAUGAGCAAACUGAGGCCCAGAGAAGUAAAGCGACUUGCCCAUGCUCAUAUAUCUAGUCAGUGUCUAAUCCUUUACUUGACCCAGAAUCUCCUGAUUUCCAGUUGUAAUCAUAAAUUAUUUUUUAAAAAAAGGUUAAUGCCCUUCAGCUCAUCAAUAGUAAACAAACAAUCAUGAAGCACACAGAGAUGACAUAGUAUAGUAGCUAACAACAUGGACUUGCAUUUCAGAACUCAUGUUUAGUCUUUGCUUCACUAUUUUGAAGGUGAUUUUGAACAAGUGACUAAAUCUUAUGAAUAUCUUUCUCCUCUGCAUAUAAAGAGGAUAGACCCUAACUCAUAAGCGUGUUUGAUGAGCAAUUGAGAUGGACUCUGUAAGGUAUUUCUAUAGUAUCAAAUCAGUGUAAGUGGUCAAAAGAGGCUAGUUACUUUAGAAUUAUUUCAUUUUGAAUUUCAUUGUCUUUUAUGUAUCAAAUAUAUUACUUGUUACUUAAAGUUUUUCAGAUUUUUUUCGAACUCCAAAAUUCGUUUCUCUUUACUUUAACCUUUCUGAACCACUGAUUUCCAAGUAAAAUCAACUUUAUGCUUUAGGGCCCAGUUUGUCAACUAAACCUUAGUAUGUAUAUAACAGUGGCCUUGUCAUAUUAAGUAGCAUUUUUUGGUCUUUGAAUACCUUGUCUGUUUGAUCAGGGAACAUAUUCUGUAAUGGAAACAUUUUUUAUUGGACAGAUACAUAUUUAGCCUCAAUAUAUUCCAAGGCAGCUACUGAUUUUAUUGGGUUCUAGAAAGUAAAGUUUAUUUCUUUAUUCCCAGCAGGCCAUAUACCUCAUGGUUCCCUAUCAACUUUAAUACCUGGAAUGGAGACAGUUCUGUUUUAUUGCUGCUGUGCUUUGACUAUUGCUUUUAUGUCAUUAUCACUUAUUGUAAAGGAGAAUUGAGUUGAAGAAGCGAAUCUUGUUCCUUUUUUACAAUGUUAAACCAGUAUAAUUAACAUAAUCAUUUUAGAUUCUCUUAUAUAUUAUUUCAGAUUUUAUUUGUUAAUUUAUUUAUUUUGCCUUUCUGUUUUGCUUUGUUUUUACAGAUGCACCUGCGGCAUGUGGAAGUUCCCAGGCUAGGCUUCAAAUCAGAGCUGCAGCUGAGGCCUAAGCCACAGCCACAGCAACACCAGAUCUGAGCUGCAGAUUGUAGCAAUACUGGAUCCUUAAACCCAAUGAGCAAGGCUGCUCAAGUCAAAUCCAAAUCCUUUUGUACACUAAGUCGUUUUCUUAACCUACUGAGCCACAAUGGGAACUUCUGAUUUUAUUUUUUUUAACUCUAGAAAUCAUUCUUAUCGUCAUUUCAAUUGAGUAAUAAAUAUAUUAGGAAUAUCUUCAUGAUAGUUUAAUUUGGAUCAGAUAAUUGACAACUGUCUUUAAACAACAUUCUUUGAAUUUUUCCCAGUUGUUUUACUGAGCAUUUAUAUUAUUCUGGUUUUGCAAAGUUAACGUUGUAAUAUUCUUUCUCUAUAUUUGGGUCUAUAUAUGAUUCUACUAUUCUAAUUUCAAUUCUCCACCAAGGAAAUUCAAUUUCAAGUGUUCAUAAAACUAGUAAUACUGGUCAUUGAGUUGAUGGACUUACAUAUUAUUUCAGAUUUGCUAUUAUUUUUUUCUUUACUUGAAAAAUAAGGAAAAAUAUACCUCUUGUGAGGUACAAGAUUAAUUAAUUUUCAAGCUUAUGUCUAGUUUCUAGGAUCCUGUAGGAUAUUUUGCCCCAGUUGUUUUUUGGUUGGUUGGUUGGUUGGUUGGUUUUUGCUUUUUAGGGUUGCACUGGUGGCAUAUGGAAUUUCCCAGGCUGGGGGUCAAAUUGGAGCUGCAGCUGCUGGCCUUCACCACAGCUACAGCAACACAUGAUCUGAGCCAUGUCUGUAGACUAUGCCACAGCUCACAGCAAUGCCAGAUACCUAACCCACUGAGCAAGGCCAGGGAUUGAAUUUGCAUCCUCAUGGAUACUAGUUGAACUCAUUUCUGCUGCCUCACAAGAGUAACUCCCUCCCCAAGUGUUUUGAUCUACUUGAACUGAUCUGUAAAAUUAGGUGAACUGAUCUUUAACAGUUUGUUUUAGUAAAAGGCUAUGGCUUAUUUAGAAAAAUGACUUUAUGUAUGUUCUAAGUAAUAAAAUUUUCUGGACUAGCUAAGAAUUAAAAAGAGCAGCCAGAAAAUCACACUUAAAAUUUCACUUCCUCUUCUAAACUUUUGGCAAGGGACAAACAGGGAUAUUAGUAUAUAUUUGUUAUCAUGUGCAGAAUAAGGCUACCCUUAAAGGGAAUUUCCAAGUGCAAGUAUAGCCUCAUGUUUGUUUAUUAUCUUAAUAGGAAUUUAAAUGUUCUCUCUUUGUUAUGAAAAUCUGGAGGAAUAUAGUAUAUUUUCAUAUCCCCAGGAUAACUAUCACCUUGUAGUGACAAUUCACAGACACAGUGAUGGGUAACUCCAGACAUCAACAUUCUUGAAGAGCUCAGCUCCUGGUGACAUGGGAGUAAGGGAUCCAAGGAGUAAGGCUCUUAUGAUAAAACCUGAAUUUACAUUUAAGAAUGCUAAGAUAUGAGGGAUAAAUAAUUCUUAGUUUGAGAGUACAGAAUCUAAACUUGGAAGACAUCAUUGAAAUUACCUAGUUGAAACUAUGGAUUUAAAAAAAAAAGAGUGAGAUCUUGGAGUUCCUGCUGCAGAGCAGUGAGUGAAGGAUCAAGCUUGUCUCUGGAGAGGUACCAGUUAGAUUUUGGGCCUGGCAUAAUGGGUUAAGGAUCCAGAGUUGCUGCAGCUGAGACGUAGAUCACAGCUCUGGUUCAGAUUCUAUCCCUGGCCCCCAAAAUUCCAUAUUCCAUGGGUUCAUC